This 330-nucleotide ribosomal RNA is filed under the name Texcoconibacillus texcoconensis. Its description in RNAcentral is "Bacterial small subunit ribosomal RNA". It matches the Rfam family "Bacterial small subunit ribosomal RNA", at positions 1 to 305 of the family's 1533-position model. The record is from Rfam by way of RNAcentral. Lineage: Bacteria; Bacillati; Bacillota; Bacilli; Caryophanales; Bacillaceae.
UCAUCGGAGAGUUUGAUCCUGGCUCAGGACGAACGCUGGCGGCGUGCCUAAUACAUGCAAGUCGAGCGCGGGAAGCUAAUAGAUCUCUUCGGAGUGACAUUAGUGGAACGAGCGGCGGACGGGUGAGUAACACGUGGGCAACUUACCUCUUAGACUGGGAUAACCUCGGGAAACCGGGGCUAAUACCAGAUGACCGAUUCGCUCGCAUGAGCGAAUUGUAAAAGUUGGGUUUCGGCCUAACACUAAGGGAUGGGCCCGCGGCGCAUUAGUUAGUUGGUGAGGUAAUGGCUCACCAAGGCGACGAUGCGUAGCCGACCUGAGAGGGUGAUC